Molecule: long non-coding RNA, 1081 nt
Filed under: Rattus norvegicus (Norway rat)
Lineage: Eukaryota; Metazoa; Chordata; Mammalia; Rodentia; Muridae
Description: long non-coding RNA NONRATT022506
Source: RNAcentral
GGGAUGGCGGGGCACACGAGGUAAUUCCCAGCCAUUGACCCCCCAUUUUCUCUCUCGCCCUCCCUCUUUCUCUCCACCCCCAUCUUUCCUGGAAACUCGCUUUGGGCGCGGCAGACCGCGUAGGACCUCACGGCAAGCUAAGUAACUGCUGGUCUCUCAGCGAGAGCCUGGAAAACACAGCUCCGGGGUCCUACCUCGACCCCUCUCCAGCGGAGGAGUGGAGGUCCUACUUUAUAUUUUCUCCAUCGGGAGGGGAUCCCAGAUUCUAGUGACUUCAGGAGUACUUUCCAGUGUCGUUAGUCAGGUUUCCCUUCCAGACCUUAGCUUACUUUUGGGUCCAGCUGAGUAGAAUGUGGUGGAGGGUGAAAGGCAGUAGGGCCAGAAUCCAGAAUCAACUUCAUUCCUUGGCUCAUAGUAAGUAGCUACCCUACCAUAUCACUUGCCGAAAGGUGGAUUUGCUUAGUGUGGACACCCUUCCUCCUGGUCAGGAGAAUAUUGGCGGAAAGUGGCUGGUUCCUCUGGAAUAUUUCUGACCUCUAAACAGAGCACAGUUCUUGCAGCCUCCACACCCUACUUCACCACCAUAAUGUUUCUGGGUGUAUGUUUGCGGCGCAUGUGUGUAGCGGUAGAUCGGGAGAGGUUCCUACAGCAGAUCCCCCGCCAAAAACCAAAAAGGGGGGCGGGAAGAACACGCUUGCUCGGGGGAUUUGUUCCCUCCCCUUCCCCUGUGGCCUAAGAAGGAGGGACUGGGUGAUCUUUCUUUCUCUUCUCUAUGCAUUUCCUUCCUCCUUUUUCCCUUCGAUUUUUGUUUCGCUGUCUGUAUUCCUUUUCUUCAAUGUUUCUGCCAUCUUUCUCUAGCUCGAUUCCUACCCUUGGACACUGUGCCUCCCGGGCUUGCCCCACCCUUUCCCCCCCAAUCUAGAGACACCCGCACAUUGCUCCAGCCCUAAGGCCCGCAGGCCCUUCACGCCAGCAGGAUUGGGGUGUGCGUCCACGUGGCGCUGAGUUUGUCCGCUUUUCAGGUUUCAGUGCGUGAUCUCUUCUCUGUCCCCUACCCUGUUACAGGAUGACGGAGCGGCCG